UACGGGGGGGGCAAGCGUUGUUCGGAAUUACUGGGCGUAAAGGGCUCGUAGGUGGCCAACUAAGUCAGACGUGAAAUCCCUCGGCUUAACCGGGGAACCGCGUCUGAUACUGGAUGGCUUGAGUUUGGGAGAGGGAUGCGGAAUUCCAGGUGUAGCGGUGAAAUGCGUAGAUAUCUGGAGGAACACCGGUGGCGAAGGCGGCGUCCUGGACCAACACUGACACUGAGGAGCGAAAGCCAGGGGAGCAAACGGG
This 253-nucleotide ribosomal RNA is filed under the name uncultured bacterium. RNAcentral describes it as "partial 16S ribosomal RNA". It matches the Rfam family "Bacterial small subunit ribosomal RNA", at positions 524 to 776 of the family's 1533-position model. The record is from RNAcentral.